This 31925-nucleotide long non-coding RNA is filed under the name Capsicum annuum. RNAcentral describes it as "long non-coding RNA (CANN_LNC008031)". The record is from RNAcentral. Lineage: Eukaryota; Viridiplantae; Streptophyta; Magnoliopsida; Solanales; Solanaceae.
UUCGGAAAGGGUGAUUUCUAGAAUUUUCUUCACCAUUCUUGCUUGGGUAAGCUCCAAACUCAUCUUCCCAUUAAAUUUCAUUGAUUUUAUUUUCAAAAUAACUUAUUUUCUUGAUUUCAAAAUGUAUUUUUGAAUUUUUAAUCGAUAAGGCUUUAAAUUGAUAUUUCUUUGAGUUGAUCCACGUUUUAAACUCAUUGUCAUAUGGAUUUUCAACUGUAGACUCCUAUUGCUAUGGGAAACAUAAUUCUAAAAUAAAAUUAUGGUUAUACCCCUUUCAGUUUCAAGACUGUUUUUCGAACAAAUUUUGGAACCAUCCUAAAAUUAGUCGAUAUGAGUAUCAUUGGAUUCCUUUUAAUGUAUAGAUGAUACUUUUGAUAGUUUUAUCUUGUGUGACCAUUCGAGAGGUUAAUGCUCCACAAUGAAGAUUCUAGGUUUGGAUUUCUACUUUUCGAGGUAGGUUAUGACUUAACUUUCUUUAGAAUGGAUUGGGUAGUUAAUAAACAUGUAAAGUAUGCUAUAGGCUAGGAAAUUAUCAUAGGAUUUAUAUUUCUAGAUCAUUAUUAUUAUCGCAUAUAUAUAUAUAUAAUAAAUAUAGAAUUACCACAACCCAUAACAUACUUUAAAUGCCUUGAAAUCAUCGUAGAUGAGUUCAUAGGUAUAGAAAGAAGCUAUGAAAUCACAACCCAUAGCAUACAUUACAUGUUCUUGAUUUAUAGCCUCAACCCUAGAAAGAGGGUAUUUAUACACUCAUAGAUUUAUAAAAUACCACCAUAGAUGAUUUCAUAAAUUAAAACUACAAAGAGGAUAAAGUAAAAACUAAGAACCCUAAUGUAGAGCCCUUGACGCCUUAUUUUCUCUCCAAUUAUUUGAUGAUCCAAAGAUGUCUUGUAAUUGUGGAUAAGUGCUCUUUAUAUAGCCCUCAAAUACAUGCAACCAAGUUCCAAAGGGAGUAUAUAUAUAAUGACAAAUAAACCCUCAACUUUAACCAACAUACAAAGGGAUUAGAUAUAAGGACAAAACAGCCCCUCAACUUAAACCAAAAUAAAACCUAACUUUUAGACGUGUUUGAAGGGUGUGCGGCAUGCAACUGAGUUCUAGUUUAGGGGUCAAGUUUUGUGUCUUAUUUGGGAGCCAAAACAGUAGCUACUAGAAGUAUAGUGUGUGGCACAAAGGUGAUAUCAAGAUUUGGAGGGCGUGGUGCACCAUGUUCUCCACAACAUGCAAUUUCGUUCAAUGUUUGUUCUAUGCUUCUCAUCUAACUUGUUCCUUGUUUCUCCACUCAUCAUGGCUCAUGUAGCUUGUGUGCAGGACUUAUUUACUUCUAUAUAUGCUUCAAUUCUCUUCUAAACAUCUCAUAACAAAAUUCGUUUACAACACGAUAAAACUCAUUGAAAAUACAUGAGAACAGGCAUAACUUAGCCCGAUUUAACUAAUUAUUGCAUCUAAUCACGAUUUGAUCAUUUUGACUCUUGAAUUGAUUCAAACACAGCUAAAACACUCAAAACAUGAAUAUAGCACAGACAGACAAAAAUAACCCUAAAUAUGUACAAAAACACGCCAAGUUAUCCUCAAAACUAAGCUUAAAUGUGGGUAGAAGUUUGCUAAUAAGUGUAUACUUGCACCUAUGAUCACAACCUCACAUUUAAAGCUUUGUUCUUCCUCGAACAACUCAUUACACUCAUCUACAUCAUGGAGGACUCUAACAUAACCAUUUGAAACAAGACACUCAAGCUAGCACUACAACGACUAUCAUAGGUAGCAAGUUCACAACAAGCAUGUAACAUAAUCAACUUCAAAUACAUGAAUGACUACUCAAACCCUCCUAGACUCAAGAAUUUACUCCACAAAAUGAGAAAAUUCAUGAAAAUUUCUCAGUCAAAAAAUCAUAUAAGUCAUCUAUCCAUCAUUAAGCCUUCGCCCUAACCACAAGAAAUUUACCCAUAUUCACUCACAAAUAUGCAAUUUAUCACAAGGAUGGAUGUAGUAAUCAAGUUCCGCUCAUUGUCACAAGUAAUUCACGUGUCACAAAAGAUGAACCAUGAUCUAUCCCUUAGUGUAGUACUCCUCUAAUAUAAUAAUAUCAAAGCUCAAGAUCAAUAAGGACUCUAAAGGUUGUAAUGUAGGCUAAGGGAUGGGUAGGAACUAUUUUUGUCAAGAAUAUUGACUAAUUUUCCCAAGCGCUUUAAUACAUCAUAUUUUUCAUUAAAAUCAUCUUCAACCAACCUUAUUUUCACCACUUUUAUCUUCCACAACUCUCUUUUGUUUGCCCCUUUCUCUUUAGGCUAGCUUACAAUUCUUCAGAUGUGAUUACUUGUAAUCAACACAUGAUUCACUUAUUUUGAUCAAUUUUUUUCAUUAUAUUACUCUACUCCAACAACACAUAAACUUUUUAAACACACCCAUAGACUAUCAUUUUGGGGCUUCAACUUCACUUUUUCUUUUCUUUAACUUUACACUCCUUAACAUCUUAAUUUUUUACAACCAAAGUACUUAGGAGUUUUAGAUUAAAUUAUGGUUAAUUGAAAGAAAUGGAAUAAGCUACAUAUGAGGAUAUCAAUUAAUAGUCUAAAGGCUUAAUGGGAUGACUAAGAUCAUGCAUUAUGAGUAGAUAAAGAAGGUAUAAAAUGACUAUCAAAGAAAUGCUUAUAUCAUCUCCUAAACUGAACAUUCUUUAUUUAACUUUAUAAACACCGAAAAAGUUCUAGACAUCAUUAUGCAAACAUGGACUACAAAAAAACCUUACACAUAUAUGGCACAUGUUCAACUCAAGAAGGAUCCCUACAAACUCUCAAUCAAGUAACUACAAGAAUUCAAUUAAAUCUAAAAUCACAUAAGAUCCAAAUAACUGAGCCUAGGUGUCUCAAAAAAGUAAUUCAAUUCCUUAACAUGCUUUUUACUUUACAAAACUUGCAUCAUAUAGUCAUGUAUCCUAACACGAGCACCUAUCAUCCAACAAGUGAAAGGGUUUUAGUUAUUAAACCCUAAUAACUAAAUUUCCCUCAAGAUGGUCAUUGUCCAUCCAUCAUCGGAAAAAGUCCUUAAACUAUCACUAAUAAUUUUAAAUUUUUCUCUUAAAAAAAAUAGAUACCGGUACGAAAGGCACCCCUUGAAAAUGAACCGAAAAGAAAAACCAAGGAGUGAAUGAAGUGUGCUACUACAAAAGAAAAACAACUAAAACUUAACCAACUAAGAAUUAAAAUUAAACAUAAAAACAAAGACUCGGACUCUUAUAACAUCACUUCAUCCUAAACACAUCAUAAGAUUUCCCAUCCCACACUUAAAAUCAUACUUUAUCCCAAAGGUACAAUUUAAAAAUAAAGAAUAAAAAUACUCGUUGAGGCCUCUAGGCCAAGCUAAUAGUAUCAUAUCCAUCAAUAGGUCUGAAGGACUCCACACUCAGUAUUUUACUUGCUUAUUAGUUUAGAUCUCAUGUACUCAGUCUUUCCUUCAACCUCUAAACAUCAAAUAAAAAUAAAACCAAAGGUGAUACUAAAGAAAAUAAAAAAUAAUAACAAACUAUAUUAACUUGGGUUGCCUCCCAAGAAAUGCCUGAUUUAUUAUUAUGUCACGAAUCACAUUAUAACUAUCCUCCUCAACCUCACUUUAUUUUCCAUCUUUGGGCCCAUGUUCUCCUUCUUUUUUGAACUCUUGAUGUUCACACUUUAGUAUUGCAACUUUUUUCACAUUCACCUUUUUAUGAUCCUAUUCAUUCUUUUCAAGCUUAGGCUUAUAAAUAAAAUUAGGCAACUCUAUGAGAGAGUUCAAAGAGGUAAUUAUAAUAUUUCACUCCCUUAUCUCACACUUAUUCACUUCCAUAACUGAAAUCAUGCAUAGGUCUUUGUAGUGUGAGGGUGUCUAAGGAAUUAGGUGUUAAGUAAUUUGUACACUUUGAAAACCACCAUUUCAUAAUUCAGUCUCAUAUUGAAUGUGCCUUCGUUUAUUUCUUUCAAAGCUCAACUGGUAUCCAAGAAAGGACGUCCCAGUAUAAGUGGUACCUUGUAUUAUGCAUCAUGGGUAAGAAUAGUAAAUUCAUAAGGAAUAAAGAAAUUACCAAUCUUAAUGAGAUCAUCUUUAAUAGUUCUUUUGAGGACCACUCAAGUUCUAUUUGCCACCUAUAGCACAAAUGAGGAGGGCCUUGGCUUCCCUAAAAUAAGAGUAGUAAACACUGAGAGGGGCAUUAAGUUAAUGCUUUACCCAAAUCACUCAGAGCCUGCACAUUGUCACCUUUAUCAAAUUAUAUGGGAAGGGUGAAACUCGUAGGUUCCUUGAGAUUUUGAGUCAUUUUGCUUAUAACCUCAAAGUUUUACUCCUUUGUAAGUACCACUGUCUCCAUAAUUCUAAGCUUCUUCUUGUUUGAACCACAUCAUUCAAAUAUUUAGCAUACUUAGACAUACUCUGUAAAACAUCUAACAAUGGAAUGUUAAUGUGUAGUUCUUUGAAUAUGUUGAAGAACUUCUUAAAACAUGCAUAUUCUUGUGCUUUCUUGAGCUUUUGUCAAAAUAGAGGUGGUGGUCAGUUUGGUACUUUCUUUGCCGUCUUACUAAUAGGAUACUCAAAAUUCCCCUACUUCUCAGCUUCUUUUCCAAGUGAUUACCACAAACCAACUCUUUUUCCACCUCAUAAUUCUUCUUUGAGGGUUCAUCUAUCAAGUCUCUACUACUCCUUAGGGUUAUUUCCAUAGCAUACUUUGGAUUUUUCUCUAUAUCACCUGGAAAUCCCCCUUGCGUUCUUAUAUUUUGAUCUUAUGCCAACUUUCCAACUGGAUUCUCUAGAUUCUAGGUGACAAGUUUCUAAUUUUUUAGCUCUGCAUCUAGUUUUUCUUACCCAGCCUUAAUUUCUUUAGCAUCUCUUCAACAUUACUAGACUUAGCUUGCUGUUGAAAUUUUUGGUUUAGAUUUCUACCCCAUACAUAGUCGGGCUUAGUCUAUAAAUUUUGAUUAUAGGAGUUACUAAAAUACUUUCCCCUUUGUGCAUUUUUGAUCCAUGCCCAAACUACGCCUCUAAAUUAAGGCUGAAGUAGUCGUAGUUAGAGUAGUAACCCAACUAAGGUUGGGGUUAUACCUACAAGGACUACAAGUGUAGUAUCUCUUUUUUGCUGGAAUCAACGGGUAAAUGCGAAAAGUAAAUAGGGGGAUUUGUAGUAUAAAGUAACCGUAAGUGACUGGUUGCUGCUUUUGGUUGAAAUUAAUUAGAAACGAACACUAGGAUUGUGUUUCCCUUGGCAUCUCAAAUCCAUAGGUUUAUCGUGCUAAAAUGAACCAACAUAGUACCUUCCAUGAAAAAUCUGAUAAGUUAUGUACCAUCAACUGUCUUGUGGACUCAUUGAUGGAUUUCACCUUUUUCUUUUUGAGUCUUGGAGUAUCGCUGUAGUAACCCUUAUCCUAGAUCCCAAUUACCUAUAACAUUGUAGGUCUUAAGUUAUUAGAUGAAACUAAUUGGCUUAAGAAGAUAAUACUAGUAAGCUUAUUUUAGCAAUUAACUCCAAAUUACUGUUGUCAUUAUCUUUUCCUAGUCCCUACUUCCCUUUUGGAGUGAAUAUGAAUAUCUAGGCGGGACCCUAAUGUUUGCAUUCUCUAAGAAAACUAUUACACUAAAGAUAAUACAAUACAUGCAUGGGUAAUUAUUCAGGACACUUCGUAUUUCACCUACUUCAUGAAUCGUCAGGGUUUCUUGUAACACCCUGAUUUUUUGAACCGGAAUGCUACACGGUGCUUAUGACCCUGAAGAACCACAAGCUAACCCAUGAAUGAUAUCUGUACCUGUAUACUACAUAAUAUAACAUAAAAAUGUAGAAACAUGUACUGAAUGGCCAUAAGGUUCAACUGAAUAAACAUCUGAUAAGAACAAUAUCUAAAAAUGGUACAAUAAUACCAAACCAAAUAUGAAAUAACUGUUUGAAAUGCUAUAGUCUGGAAAGCCUCUAACUAUCUAAAUAAGGAGUUGAUGGGACAUGUCCCCAACUAACUCCAACUACUGAAAUAAACUGAAAACUGCAAUAGUAAUGAAAUCAUCGUAUUCUCGAAAUAUGAGGACUUACUUCUAACUCUGACUGCUGAUACUGGAAUCUAUUACUGAUCUAGAUAUCGUGCCUCUAAACCUAUGGUGUAACAUAAGAGAAAACACCAUAGUGAAAAUGCGUCAGUAUGACUAAAUGUACUGAGUAUACGAGUGAUGUAGGCUAAAUGCAAAGGGUUAUAUGCAUGAACAAUGCUGACUAAUAUGAACGUGAGAAUACUUACAUACAUGAGAAACUAUAAUUGAACUUGUGAUGAUACUGAAUACUGAGUCUGAAUACUGACAUCAUGACUUCACUGACAAUCACUAAUAAGUGAGGGACUAGUGCUAUUUUACUGAUACAUAAAUAACUGUGUAUGACAGUCCUGAUUAUAAAGGACUAGUUCGGUCGACUGUAUUUGACAGUCUAAUUAUAAAGUAUUAAUCUGAUUGACUGUAUCUGGCAGCCAUGAAUAUGAGAAAUUGAUAUGCUUGACCGUAUCUAUCAGUCAUGAAGAUAGAUACUGGUAAUAUGAGUUUAGAGAACUGGUAAGAAUGAUAACAUGAGUGGUUGUAUCUUACAGUCCUGAAUAUGGUGGAACUAGCUGAGUUCCAUAUUGUAUCUGAGUUUACUGUAUCUGACAGUCGUGAUAUUCUAAAGAACUAUCUGAGUCUAUUAUUGAAAUUAAGAUUGAGACUGAAACUGAGGCUAUAGGAGGUAAUCAUCUAACCGACAUACCCCAAAACUGAACUGGUGGGGUCCAAUAUUUACCCUGAUUGGAAGGGUGUCAAUACCACCAUGGGUAGAGAUAACAUGUGAGUAACCCCAUUCUGUUUUUAAGAGCUCAUUCCGUCUGCCCUACAAUCAGGUAAACUAAAAAAAAUGCAUUAGCCCUAUGGGUAGGGACAUCUCAACCUACGCUAGCUAUGUAGUUUUGGAAUGCAAGGAUUGCUUCAAGGAAUCUCACCCUCUGACUGUGGCAGGUGAGUCCCCAUCCUUGGGUUCACUUGAUGCUGAAUCCUACUCCCAACUGAAAGACAUUGAACUGAACUGAUUAACUGAACUGAUAUUAGUAGGAUUGUUUAACGGAGCUAAACCUAUUUUACUGGAUUUCAAUGACUAACAGAAUGUACUGAGUUCUGAGGACUGAUUGAGAGUACUGAAUUUACUGAGAUUAACUGUGAAUACUGAGGUUGCUGAGGUUACUGAGCAUUGAGAUUAUUGAGAUUACUGGGUUUUCCAGAGUCACAUGACUGAUUUCUAUAAAUCAUGGCUUGAAUGAGAGUAUCGUGAAAACAUGACAUGGCUCUAGGCAUACAACUAUAUUUUUCGGGUACAAGUACCCCCAGGAAUCGAUGGAAACAUACUGACUUGAUCGUAAGAAUAAUAUUUACUAUUCAUAAUACCAUAAAUAGGGGAUUUCAUACUACAUAUGGUUAUCAUAUUCUUGAACAUGGAAGAUACUGCAUAUAACUUGUACAUACUUGUAUGUUUCUAAUUUCAUGAGCAUUCCAUAGUACAAGAACAAUACAUGACAAUUUGCAUGGAAUUCAUGUUGAGUCAUAAGGGAUAGAGCAUAGGCUUGUCUUUUAAGUUCUAUUUAGCUAAAAUACAUGAUUUCUAGUCUCUUAGGUAUUUUAUCAAACACCUUGCAUGCACCACUUUGGGCAUAGGUUUAUUCAUGAAUUCAACCCCCCAAAUCACCCAAAGUUCAUAUAUUUCAACUAACAUGCCAUCCUAGUUUCAUACAAACCCAUAAAGAUUCUAUCUUGACAUCAUUCAGCACAUAAACAAGAUCAACAAUCAAAUCAAAACAUAAAAAAAUCAUGGCAUAUAGUUUAAAAUAGGGUUCUUGGACUUCAUGGAUGAAAGAAGUCCAUGAAUGAACACACGCAUACGUUUGUUCUUGAUUUAGUGAAGAUUGACGGAGAGAUUCUUGAAAUUUGAUGGUAGAAUUUGCUUGAACAUAAAUCCUCCAAUUGAAACCCUAAUGUUUUCUUGAAAAGAUUUUGAUAAAAAAGAGCAUGUUUUGGUGAAAUAACGUCUUAAUUCCAUGUUUGAGAGCUUAUAUAGGGGUGGGAAGAUGACCCAAAUACCCCUCUAGACGCGUCUUUUAAUUUCUGUAAAAAUUUCCCGAUUUGGGCCCCUGGCGCGAUGUGGAGACAUUAUUUUGCCACUUGUUUAUGACUUGGAAACUCACCGAGAUGCUGUGGAAUCGCGAAGAGACACUCAAAAUUGACAAGCGUCAUUUUUUCUUAUGGCUCAAUGCGCCACUGACUGAAGUGACACUGUUGAAACUUUAAAUCGCCAUAACUUCUUCACCGGGUGUCCAUUUUAGGCAAAUUUGGUAUCGAUGGAAAUUUUAUUUAAUUCUAUACAAUUUGGAGGGUAUGAAUCUACCAAAAUACCACCUCUAAACCUAGUUAUUCUCGUUCAAAGAUGACCUAUGUGAAAUCACACACGGAAAUUUAGUGGAUUCAAAAGCUCUUAGCUUGGUUUACUCUAAGUGACUCUUAUGAACAUGCUUAACACCCAAUAAGAUCUAUUAUCACUAGGAUACUCAUCCUAAUUCAUGUACUCAAAUAUGAAUCACAAGAUAGGAGGUUUCAUGCGCAAGAACAAUGGUUUAUUUUCUAGCUUAGAAAUAUAUGGGGUAUUACAACAUCUCCCCCUUGGGAAUAUUCAUCCUCGAAUGAGACUUACUGAGAGGGGAAACAAUAAGCUGAACAUGAACUGGACAUAAAUGACUAAAACAUGAUCUCAUGACUUACGUGACUAAUAAAAUGAUUCAUACUGAACAUGCAUAUCUGAUGCAUGGGUAGUUGAUUUAUGAAUGAAGGACUGAGUGUUCUAAUGAACUAAGUUUCCAAGAAUAGGAAUGCAUAUCUGAUGCAGAGAUUGAUAAGCUGAAUCCAUGCAUAUCUGAUGCAUGAUUAUAUGACUGACAUAAUACAUGAAUGUAUGAAUGAAAGUACUGAUAAGUUGAUCAUGCAUAUCUGAUACAUGAGUACACGACUAAACUGACUCAUGAACAUAUGACUUAACAUGCAAUGGUAAAGACGCCAAGUUUGAACUGAAAACUGAGCAUAGAAUGGAAUACCAAGUUUGGUACUAAAAUCUGAACAUGAGAAUAAGUAAGCUCAAAGAAGACUAUUACCUUGAACCAAACAUAUUGAUGAGUCUGAGAUUAAUUACUCAAUAUGCAUGAGCGGAAACAUAAGAACAUAACUAAGUCUGGAACGUGAUACAUGAACUAAAUUGAGUCUGUAAUGUAUGAAAUGGAUAGAGUAUCUUAUCAUGGACUAAACUAAGCUGUUGAGUACAUAGUUAAGACUGAGAUUUGGAGAUAAAGGGUCAACUUAUGAGUAUCCCUACUCCAAACUAGAUUCAUUACAUGAGAAGAGAAUGGGACGCUUAUGUUAUGAAAGUUUGGGGGAUCAUAGCAUAGCUCCCCCUAGGGACACUAGGCCCCCCUCUAUGAAUACUGUCUUGGCUGAGCUACUGAGGGAAACUAAGGUGAUACGCAAGGCAACUAGGAACUAAAUCAUGAAUGAUUAUCUGAGAUCUGAAACUUGAGGCGUGAUACAUGAUCUAAGAUGAAGAAACUAAACUUCAUGCACUGCAACUAAGACAACUAAAAGAUUUAUGAGGUGUUGAGCACGACUGUAUGAAUAUACUAACUUAUCUGAUUAACUGAAUAACGGAUAGCUGAAUACUGGGCAUAUGAGACUUGUCUGUACUUAGUCCAAAUAAUUGGACUAAGGCUGUAGAAUAUUAUGCAUAGGAGGUAAUGAUUGAUUGGAUAACAUGAGGUAAUAGAGUAUGAAUGAGCAAAACUGUAUCACAUCAAGAAUACAAGGCUAGGCGUAUAACAUGAUUUGGAAACAUCCUGUAGACUAAGGUACUAAAAUACUACUGACUGAGUAACUGAUAGUUGUAGCUUGGGUCAAGCAAGUCUGGAACUGAACUGAGUUUCUGAUCUGAUUACUAAACUGAAGUUGGCACUAAAACUAAAACUGUAACUGAGAUUCUUACUGGAACUAAACGCUGGGUUUUGAUAACUGAAUGCUGAUAACUAAGGUUUAGGAUGAUAUUGAAAUACUAAAUUUUGGAACUGAACACUGAUUACUGGGUACUGAAUACUGAAAUUGUAACUAAGAUAGCAACUGAGUUUCCAUAGUACGCGAUAGGGGUUGACAUAAGUCAGGGAUCUAAAUAUACAUUCACACUCUGUACUUCCCUAUCUUCUAAAUACAACCUCAUGAUAACCACUUGCUUGGACACUAACAUGGUAUUCAAGCCUAUCUUCGUAACUAUCCCCCCGUAUACAGUAAGCAUGCCACAAUCUUCUCUCAACAUGAAACACAUUGUAUCUCCCAUCUAAGCAAAUGCGCAUCACUACAAUGUUCCAUAAGGAAAGCUUACUGGAGGAUUACAUCAGGAGAACCUGAAACAUAAAUUGGCACUGACUGAACUUAACACAUGGCUGAAACCUGAGGAAUAGAAUGUCACCAUCAUGAAUUUACCAAAAAGGUAUGAACUGAGGAUAUACAUGACAUAGUAUGAAUUUAUCUUUUCUGUAGGGGCAUAACAUGAGUCAUGGAAACUGAAUAUACUGUAAGGAAUGACAUGUGUACAUGAGUCAUGAGCUGCAUGACUUGAGUCUAAAAUUUUUGAAUUCGUGGGACAUGAUUCGUAACACUGAGGGAGAUAAAACUCCUUAUGCAGGGAACUGGAAGCACACAAGAGUCUAGGAGAAACAUGUAAAUAUAAGCUGUGCUCAUGGAACUGAGUUAUGAAACAUGUGUAGGCAUCAUGCUGACUGAAGUACAAAACUUGUACGAAGAUAAGGAUGGAUCAGGAAUCGUCUUCCCUUAUUGAUCUUUCUAUACAUACUAGCAAUACUACUGGAAUUCUGAGAGCCUAACUUGGUUACUUGAUCUAUCAUCUCCCCCUUGACUUUAAGCCAUCAUCUUAUGUCUGUGAAUACUUGACAAAGCUCUAAACUAAACUUUAAUCAUAAUCACAUACUUACACCCUGUCAAACACAUGUUUGCCUUACUAAGCCCAUUAGCUACUUCUGUUGCUUCAUAUAUUACUAAUAUCACAUCCACACCUUUAUACUUAAUUCAAAUCAAUAAACUUAAAUUCUAGCUUACACUGUUCAAGCCUACUGAUUUACUCUGGUACAACUAUCCCCAUGAAUACAUAAUCUAAUCAAACUGGAUAAUACUAUCCCAAAUCUACCACUGUUAACUCCUUAGUUCAUUCUUAAAAAUUCUAGGUCUAUGCUGCUAUAAAAUUUUGAGAAAAGAUCUAAUGGCAUAUCUAAAAUUGGGUUCGUGAACGAGUUCUCAUGGUCAUGAAUGAAAUUUGUAUGGCUUGGAACAUAACGGGAUUGAUGGGGUAUUUCUGAGUCUGUGGGCAAUCCCAUAACUGUAUGCUGGGACUGGUUGAGAAAACUCUAUCUCUAGAAUUUUAAGCAUCACUAUUUCUGUUACCUUAAAAGUAAGGUAGAGUUAACAUGUGUGGAGCAUGAUGAGAAUCUAUAUGAGUUUUCUUAGAAAACUUUUCUAUAGCACGAUCAGAGACAUAAAAGAAGAGAAACUGUUUCUAAAACAUCUCAUAGCCUCCUGCACAUAAGUAUUGUCCACAACACACGCAUGUACAAAACUCUACUAGAUGUGUCUUUCAUACUUUCUAUCACUCUAUUGAACCAUAGGCUCUGAUACCAAGUUUGUAACACCCUAAUUUUCUGAACCGAAAUGCUACACGGUGCUUAUGACCCUGAAGGACCACAAGCUAACCCAUGACUGAUAUCUGUACUUGUAUCCUGCAUAAUAUAACAUAAAAAUAUGGAAACAUGUACUGAAUGGCCAUAAGGUUCAACUGAAUAAACAUCUGAUAAGAAUAAUAUCUGAAAACGAUAUAACAAUACCAAACCAAAUCUAAAAUAACUGUCUAACAUGUUAUAGUCUGGAAAGCCUCUAACUAUCUGAAUAAGGAUUUGAUGGGAUAUGUGACCAAAUAGCUCCAACUACUAAAAUAAACUAAAAAUUGCAAUAGUAAUGAAAUCAUCGUGUCCUCAAAAUAUAAGGACUUACUUCUAACUCUGACUGCUGAUACUGGAAUUUACUGCUAAUUUAGAGCUCGUGCCUCUAAACCUAUGGUGUAACAUAAGAGAAAACACCAUAGCACAAACGCGUUAGUACGACUAAAUGUACUGAGUAUACGAGUGAGGUAGGCUAAAUGCAAAGGGUUAUAUACAUGAACAAUGCUGACUGAUAUGAAUGUGAGAAUACAUACAUACAUGAGAAACUAUAACUGAACUCGUGAUGAUACUGACUACUAAGUCUGAAUACUAACAUCAUGCCUUUACUGACAAUCACUAAUAAGUAAGGAACUAACACUGUAUUACUAAAUACUGAGGGACUAGUACUAUGUUACUGAUACAUAAAUAACUGUGUAUGACAGUCAUGAUUAUGAAGGACUGGUUUGGUUGAUUGUAUCUGACAGUCUAAUUAUAAAGUAUUAAUCUGAUUGACUGUAUCUAGCAGCCAUAAGUAUGAGAAACUAAUAUGCUUGACCAUAUCUGACAGUCAUGGAGAUGGAUACUGGUAAUAUGAGUUCAGAAAUCUGGUAAUAAUGAUAACAUGAGUGACUGUAUCUUACAGUCCUGAAUAUGGUGGAACUAGCUAAGUUUCGUAUUGUAUUUAAGUUGACUAUAUCUAACAGUCGUGAUAUUCUGAAGAACUAUCUGAGUUUAUUACUGAAACUGAGACUGAGACUGAGACUGAAACUGAGACUGUGGGAGGUAAUCAUCUAACCGACAUUCCCUAAAACUGAACUGGAGGGGUCCAAUCUUUUCCCUAAUUAAAAGGGUGUCAAUACCAUACCAUGGGUAGAGACAACACGUGAGUAACCCUAUUCUAUUUUUGGGAGCUCAUUCUGUCUGCCCUACUAUCAGGUAAACUCAAAAGAGAUACAUUAGCCCUAUGGGUAGGGACAUCUCAACCUACGCCGUCUACGUAAUUCUGGAAUGGAAAGAUUGCUUCUAGGAAUCUCACCCUCUGACUGUGGCAGGUAAGUCCCCAUCCUUGGGUUCACUCAGUGCUGAAUUCUACUCCCAACUGAAAGACACUGAACUGAUUAGCUGAACUGAAUUAAUUUACUGAAAUGAUGUUAGUGGGAUUGUUUAGAGGAGCGAAACCUAGUUUAUUGGAUUUCGAUGACUGACAAAAUGUACUAAGUUCUGAGGACUGAUUGAGAGUACUGAAGUUACUGAGAUUAACUGUGAAUACUGAGGUUGCUAAGGUUACUGAGUACUGAGAUUACUGGAUUUUCCUGAGUCACAUGACUAACUGAUUUCUAUAGAUCAUGGCUUGAAUGAGAGUAACAUGAAAACAUGAAAUGGCUCUAGGCAUACAACUAUAUUUUUAGGGUACAAGUAGCCCCAGGCCUCGAUGGAAAGAAACUGACACACAUGACUGACUUGAUUGUAAGAAUAACAUUCAUAAUUCAUAAUUCCAUAAAUAGGGGAUUUCAUACUACAUAUGGUUAUCAUAUUAUUGAACAUUGAAGAUACUGCAUAUAACAUGUACAUACUUGUAUGGUUCUAAUUUCAUGAGCAUUCCAUAGUACAACAACAAUAUAUGACAAUUUGCAUAGAAUUCAUGUUGAGUCAUAAGGGAUAGAGCAUGGGCUUGUCUUUUAAGUUCUAUUUAGCUAAAAUACAUUAUUUCUAGUCUCUUAGGUAUUCAUGAAUUCAACCACCCAAAUCACCCAAAGUUCAUAUAUUUCAACUAACAUGCCAUCCUAGUUUCAUACAAACCCAUAAAGAUUCUAUCUUGACAUCAUUCAGCACAUAAACAAGAUUAACAAUCAAAUCAAAACAUAAAAAAAUCAUGGCAUAUAGUUUAAACAGGGGUUCUUGGACUUCUUGGACGAAAGGAGUCCAUGAAUGAACAUACGCAUACGUUAGUUCUUGAUUUAGUAAAGAUUGACGGAGAGAUUCUUGGAAUUUGAUGGUAGAAUUUGCUUGAACUUGAAUCCCCCAAUUGAAACCCUAAUGUGUUCUUGCGAGGAUUUUGAUGAAAAAGAGCAUGUUUUGGUGAAAUAAUGGCAAUACCCCUCUAGAUGCGUCUUUUAAUUUCUGUAAAAAUUUCUCGAUUUGGGCCCCAAGCGCGAUGCGGAGACAUCGCGUUGCCACUUGUUUAUGACUUGGAAACUCAUGGUGCGCUGUGGAAUCACGGAUAUACACUCAAAAUUGACAAACUUCAUUUUUUCUUAUGGCACGAUGCGCCACUGACUGAAAUGACACUGCCGAAACUUUAAAUCGCCAUAACUUCUUCAUCAGGUGUCAGUUUCAGGCUAAUUUAGUAUCGAUGGAAAGAUUAUUCAAUUCUAUACAAUUUGGAGGUUAUGAAUCUACCAAAAUACCACCUAUAUACCAAGUUAUUAUCAUUGAAAUAUGACCUAUGUGAAAUCACACACGAAAAUUUGGUGGAUUCAAAAGUUCUUAGCUUGUCUUACUCUAAGUGACUCUUAUGAACAUGCUUAAUACAUCAUAAGCUCUAUUAUCGCUAGGAUACUCAUCCUAAUUCAUGUACUCAAAUUUGAAUCACAGGAUAGGAGGUUUCAUGCGUAGGAAUAAUGGUUCAUUUUCUAGCUUAGAAAUACACGGGGUAUUACAUUUCCAUAAUCCUACCUAAGGAUUUUAGCCACUCAUGCUUGUGAAACUACCAAUAAAUUUACGGAUGGAAAACAUUAAAGUGAUAACACAAUAAUCAAUGAUCAAAACCAAAGUUGGAAACUUAAUUAUCAACCGAAAUCACCAAUACAAGAAUUCAAGGAUCACAAUAUGAUAAAGAGUGUAAAAAUAUGUCGAAGUGCAUAACUCCUUCUAAAAACACGGAUAGGGUAUUUAUAGUACAUGAGGAAACCCUAAAAAUCAAAGCCUGAAUAAAAAAGGAAAAAUAGAGUUGGUGGCCACUUACUUGGGCCACAUAUGUCUCGUAUGUACUAUAUACGAUCCACAAGUGGACCCAGGUAAGUGCCAAAAAAUUUUCUUGCUGCUUUGUACUAUCUAGAUUUUGGAUUUUGGUACUUACCUUAGCCAUCUACAGUCCGGAAGUACUACAUACGGUCUAUAAGUGGACCCAGGUAAGUUUCAGAGUCUUUAAAUUCCUACAACCAAGCCUCUGGGCUUCAAAUUCUAGUACAUGCUUUGGUCGCAUACAUCCGGUAAGUGGCACAUAUGCCCAAAAAUGCUCAAGUAGCCAAAAACUUCAUUUUUCAUAUUUUUUUUGAAGUUAGCAUCCAAAAUCUAAUUUCCUGCAAAACAUACCCAAAACACAUCAUAUCUAACAAAAAACCUAAGAAUUAUGCAUACUUUCAUAAUUUUGAGAGUUAAGAGUGCUAUAAAUUUAUAGCACAACAACACCCUCAACUUAGAAGGUUACAUGUCCACAGGUGACAAUACAAAACAAAAACUAAACAUAAUGCUUAACUAGGAUAAUCUAAGAUAUUUAGGGUAGUUAAUCAUCAUCUUAAUUUCAAACUCAUUAUCCCAUCCUAUACCACAAGUGAAAACCAACUGCAUGUAUACAUAAAGCACAAGAGUAUGACACAAAGGAAUAAAGUUAUGGCAAGUAAAUUAGAAAUAUACAGCUAUGCCUAUAUACAAGUCCCACUUAACCAAAUAAGUAUGGAACUUACUAAUACAGUCCAUGUGCCCUCACAUCAAAAGAAGUCCCACUCACUCAUAUAUGAAAUCAAGCAUGUUAAUGCAGGGAAGGUCAAGAAACACUCACACUUAAAAAGAAGUUCCAAUCAAUACAUGUCAAAUACAAUAGGUUUGCCCUUAUGUUCUAUACUAAGCUUACAUACAGUCAAGUCAGGAUCAUUAUAGGACUUUUCUUGGCUUGUAAUGUAGGCUUGGGGGAUUGGUAUGAUAUAUAUGGAUAUCAAGUGACUAAGCCUCCUUGGUACUAGACUAACUUUAGGGUUUCACUUACUAACUAUUUUUUUUUUACUUUAUUCUACCCUUAUUUCUCUCUUUUUAUUUUAAAGCACAUUCAGGUUGCGUGUGAUUUUCUUAUUCUUUCUUUUUCCACUUUUUAUUUUCUUUUAUUUUUGGUUUUUUGUUUUUCUUUUAUUUUUCCUUUCUUCAUACCCAUUUUACAUUACGCACCCCUAUGACAAACACCCUCAACUUAGGAGAUUUACCUGUCCAAGGAGGAACAGGGCCAAAAUAGGUUCAAUUUAACAUAAAUGGGAAAGUGAAAGGUGAAAACAAAGAAAUAGGCUAUAAGUCUCAAAACAGAGAUCAAUGGAUUACUCAUUCAUAUUGGGAAAGUCAUUUUGGCUAAAAGUGGACUUAGAUAAAAAAAAAUGGCCUAUGAUCCUUUCCUAACUGACUAUCCUACAACCCAGACAAGACUAAUUGGAAAAGUCCUAAAUUUAAUACAUAAAGAAAACUAGGUAGUAUUUCACACACACAUGGCACAAGAUUAUAUCACAAAGCUACAAUACAUAUCUGGUUCAUGCAAUUGUUGGCUAUCAUGUCCCUAACACUAAUGUCAUAAUAAAAGGUCACAUAUAUAUACAUCACACACAGUUUAAAAAUAAAAUUUUGGAGGGGUAUCAUUUUUCUCAAGAAUUAAAAUCAAACAUGUCAACUACCCUAAAUACUUAGAAUUCACCUAGUUAUACAACAAAACAUAUCACAACAUGAAACAAAACACAUCAUGAAAUGAAUUAAUCUAGAUAUGUCAAUUUUAUAAUUAUAUUGCGACCGAUAAGAAAAGAAGUAUGACAAUAAAAAGCCACGACAGGUAUGAUAUUCCUACCCCCAACCAAAAGAUUAUGCAUUGUCUCCAAUGUGUAAAACAAAGUAAAACACAGGAAAGUAAGGACAUAACUUGGACGCACUAAGCAUCCGUGUCAUCAUCAACCCUAUGUGAGGGUAUAUCCACUGGCAGAAGUGGUGGCGGUAGAGGUGUACUAUUGGAAGAUGCACCCACUGCUAUCUUGGUAUGCCUCUUCCUAUUAAUGAAAUCAAUCUUCCUGGACUCAUGUUUGGCCCUUUUUAAGGUCUUCUUAAAUGGUAAAUUGGGAUCCUGAAUCUCCCUCGUGGACUCUCAUGGUCCCAACUAUGGGGACCUCCUCCUUCUCCUCUAAAAAUAAAUCAAAAUAUUUGGGACCAUGUAGAGGUAAUGUCUGAACAACUGGGGGUAUGACCGAAGAGAUGGUUAUCAUAUGUCUCUCUAUGACAGAGCGUACCUCUGCUCUCAAAUUAUCCAUCUCCUUUGUAAUGCCUCCUAGAUUCAGUGGCUCAAUCCUUGUGAAUCUGUCUUUUACACAUCUCUUAAAAGUAUCAAUACAUUCCUGUAUAUCAGCACAUAACUGUGACAUAGUAGUUGUAUAUGCUGACUCUCAUCUAGCCUCUACCGUCUCUAAUUUAUUCUAAACCUAUGGCUGGAUUUUGUAAUACAAUGUUGCCACCUUUCUCUCCACACUCUCUAGUCAUCUAGUGGUGGCCCUCUGUCUGUCCACUAAGCUCUACAAAAAUACAUGAGAAACAAUCACAAUACUUGAUGCAACAGCUGAAGUGGAUAGGCGAGUGGGCCCUAAAGAUAUACCAAUCGGCUCUAAGGUAGAAGAUGGGGUUGAUAUGGAUGUCGCUAGGGUCCCCUCACCUUGUGUACUAGACUUAAGGGCCUCUCUCUACUCCCCAUCUCAAAAUAUAUACCUUUUUCUAUAUCUUCUCUCUGUAUAUCACUAAACUCUAUAGAAACUGAAGCACCCUCAGUAUGGGUUUGAGGUACUAUGGCAGGCUCACAAGGUCUUUGGGAAGGACCGAACAUGUUGAGUCCUUUAUCAUCUUUGUAUGUUCCAUGGAGGUCACCUGUACUCUCUCAUUAACUCUCGGUAUCUAUGGUACACUAACAUCAUCACACAGUCUUUGAAUGAGAUAAGGGAAUGGCAAAUUCGUUGUCUUCAUAAAAGAUCUCCCACAAAUCUCGUGCCAAAUAAUGGAUGCAAAGUUAAUGUCGUAUCCUACUAUCAUGCUAGAAAUCAGAGCAGAUCCUUCCUAUGUCAAUACAUUAUCUGAAGCAGUCAAAAAUAGCCUAUGUUUGAUGAGCAACCACCAAAACUUAGCAACAAAAGUUAGUGUUGUCUUCUUUAUUGUGCCCUACCCAUCAAUUCAUGGGGUCUCAUCACAUAAAGGUAAAAUAUAGCCAUCUAUCCACCUCACCAUAUUAACUCUCUCAUGUCUAUGCUUAGCAUCCCUCAUAAUAUGUCUAUCAUGUGCAACACUCAAUCUAUAGUCACACUCUACUGUGGAUGCUGAGGCAAUAUAGUUUGGACCAAAGAGAACUCGGUGGAUGGUUGCCAUUGAAAUAUCAACCAUGACCCCUUUCACAAGGGUAUAGUCAAGCUGGGGUUGUUCAACAUUCCUCAGAAUGCCCUUCCUAGGCAUAUUGAAAGCUACAAUGGCAUGGUAUGAUGCAUAGAAUUCUUGUACCAAAGAUGGGCUAUAAGAACUGAGUGGUCUAGUCAUCUACUCUAACUAAUAAUGAUCAAAAGAUUCUCAUAGCUAUGGUGCUCUACUUAACCCAGAUAGCUCAAUCCUGCGCUCCUCAUAAAUGACCCCCUUGGGUCAUCCUGUCUCAGUAAUAUGACAGUCUAUAUCAAAUACCAUCUGCAUUCCCUCUACACACCAUCUCAGGUUCACCUCCUCAGGAGGUAUCUCCAGAAUAUGUGUAGGGGUGGAACUCUAUCUUUGUUGUAUUGGUGCCUCUGAAUCUAAAUUUGGCACCUGGUGGGAGUAUUGCUUUGUUCUCUCCUCAAAGUAGGGUAAAACUAAUGGCUGCUCAUGAAAUAUGAUCUUAGACUCAUCUUGGGACCCCUUCUCAGACUGGGGGUCCUGAGCAUCAACCUGUGGAACUGUCUCAAUCUCUGCCUCAUUCUCAAUAUUACCAUCAUCCAAUGGAGGAUAGUGUGGGCAUGAUCUCUAGAUAGACUUCACUCUCAACUAAGCUAGAGCUCCCUAGGUGGCCUAGACAGCCUGUAUGGCCUUAGUCUGUGACCUAGUAUGAGUAAAAGUUAGCUUUCUUCCCUACUUUGAGUCAUCUAGCAGCUGUACACUUAUAGUGCCCAAAAUAACAAUAUUAGCUGCCUUACAUAUCUGGCCUCUAGUCACUCGAUGUGUCACCCUGGACACAACUACUCUAAGCUGUAUAAUAGGGUACUCCUCCACCAAGCCACUGGGAUCGAGGGACUUAUCCAGUCUCCUCGAUGAAGCAACCUUCUUUUUUGUAUCUUUAGGAGCCAUGUGUACCUAUCCUACGUGGGACUUAUGACCUUGAUGAGUUUGUCACAACGUCUUCUUACCUAGAAAAUUAUGGAUGCAAUAUUUUACUUCAUUCUAGGUCACUCCAUAAUCUAUAAGCCUAUAAAAACAAAACAAACAAAGUGAAUACUAAAAUAGUGGUUUGCCUCUCACCCAAUGCUUUAUUUAACGUCAUGGUAAGAUGUGGCUAUGUUGGUUACUCUGACUUCACCAACAAUCCCAAUGGUUGACUCCCAUGUAAUGCUUGAUUUAGUGUUGCCGCAUGACAUGGAUAUUUUAACUACUCAAAAUUCAUCAAGAUCGAAAGAAUACCCUUCUGGGUUAUUUAUACAAUCAAUAACUGAUACCACUCGCAUCAGUUGGUUUCUUCAUUGUUCUUCAGACAUUGAAAGUGGCUUUUUCCUUGUUGACUCUGAAUUUAAGUUCCCCCUUUUAUAGGUCAACAAUCGCUCUACCCGUGGCCUUAAAUGGUCUUUCCAAAAUUAUGAGCAUCUCAAAAUCAACUUCACAAUCCAAAUCACACAAUUAACUAGAAAGAUGAGGUGAUCAAAUCUUACCAUCACAUCACAUUAAAUGGCCACAGGCUUCUUGAUAGUGCGGUCAGCCAUCAAUAACUACAUAGUCGUUGGCUCGAGAAGGCUCUAGCCAAAUUGUCUAAACAAGUCCAGCAAUAUCAAAUUUAUGCUGGCCCCUAAGUCAAUGGAGCUGUGGAAAAUUGGGAGGUCCCAAUAGUACAUGGAAUCAUGAACGCACCAAGAUCACUCUUUUUCUGGGCUAGGGAUCUAGAAGUAACUGUACUACAGUGGUGCAGUCCACCCAUGUCCUCAAAACUCGCAGUCCGCUUCUUGGUCACUAAUUCUUUCAUAAACUUAGCAUAACUAGACAUCUACUCCAAUGCUAUGAGGAGAGAGAUAUUCAAGCUCAAGUCUUUCAUAUUAAUAAACUUCUUAAACUUUCCUUCCUUUUUCUUCUAUUUUAGCCCUUGAGGAAAAGGUCUCAUUUACCUCACCCAUACCUUUAUCUUUAUCAGCUUUACCUUUAACACCUAUUGCUUUUUCUGACUCUACUACAAGUGUCUUAUCAAUAACAGCCUCAUCAUUCAUUAUCACUUCAACAUCAGGUAAAGGGGGAUCCAUAGUAGUUAUAUCUCUCUGUGUGGUAAUAGAAAGAAUAUAACCAUUAUUUUUUGGAUUUUGAACAGUGUUACUCGAAAGGGUCCAUGUCUAUCUCUGAAUUAAAGUGGCCAAAAUCUGCUCGAAUCAGUGCUCGAACUGCUUAAUAGCAGUUGUAUAAGACUCAACCUUUUGGGUUAAUCCCGAGAUAUCUACUUUGAUUUCUAUAAGGCUAGCCUCCUGGAUCUCUUGUACUUUCCCCAGUUUUGUCAGCAUCACUUCCAUUAUUAAUUCUGUAUCACGACUGCCUGGUGGAAUGUAUUAUUUCUCUUCUCUUUAUAGCCAUCCCUUCUAUGCCAGUCACCAUCUCUCUCCCUACUGUGAUCUUUGUAUCUAUCAUCAUAAUAGUUUUGACCUUGGUUUCCUUGCCCUUUGGAUUAGAAACCCGCCAGUUGAUGAUCCAGAUACUUAGCCUCCUCUUCUAAUUCAAACUCAUAAUAUUCAAAGGUUGUACCCUGUGUUCCAAAUGCGUUCACCUUUUCAAAUUUUCUGCUAUGAACUACUUCGCCAUCAACCCAAGAUUAGUUCUCAGCAGCACAAUCUCUUAUGCUAUAGAAUUGUAAACUACUCUCUAGUCACUAGUGGAACCAAUAUCAUAAGUACAAGAACUCCUUUCUACCUAGUUUGCCACCUUUGGUUAGUGAGAGAGAUCUGAUAUACAUGUCAGAAGCUACCUCUCAUCGUAGUCUCAUAAAAUCUCCUCCAAAGAUUGUGUUUGCCAUGGCUCUAGAACUAAUGGUUAGGGCUAUGUAGAAUAUCUCUAAUAAGCUCGUCCCUUAAAUCCAAUGGUUUGGAAUCAUACUUAAUUUUUUCUUGAACUUGAACCAAGCCACGUACAUAAACUCAGAUUAUAACUGCCUGAAAUUAUAAAUCUCAUCUUUAAGCUGUAACAUCCUAGAUGGAGGAAAGAACCAAUUCAAGAAUUACCUGCGUAACUCAUUCCAUGUGGUGAUAGAUUCUCUUAGAAGUUUCCCUACCCAAAAAGAUGCUUCUCCUGCUAGAAAUAAAGGGAACAACCUCAAUCUAAGCUCCUCCUAAUUCACCCCUAGAUUUGUAUAAGAACUACAGAUCCCUAUGAAAUUUUCAAGGUGCAUAUUUGCAUUAUCAGUAGGCAAACCCAUAACUAUACCCUUAAAGUUUAAGAGCUGGAUCAUGGCACUAGUUAUAUCAAACUUAAUACCGAGGGGAAAGAUAAGAGAAAAAAUAGCUCCUAUUUUGGAUGGCUCAACAUAUCCUAAGUCUUCAUCCUCCUCCUCAUAUAGUUCUAAGUACUAGUACACUGGAUUACUUGAGCUAGACUAUCUCUAACUUUGUUCUUAUUACCAUUGAGUGAUGCUCGAUGAUCUACUUCCUGUCACUACUCAGCUAGCUCUACCUCUCGAGCUAUAUACUAAGCAUCUUCUUCCCUCCCCUUGUUAGAAACUUGUGCUAAUAGCUCCCAGUCUAUCAAUCAAUAAUGUUCUAAAAUCCAUGUUGAGGGAGAGGCACCUAGUAUGUAUCAUCACGAACCCCUUCAGGAAUGUCAUCUCUCUUAGGCCCUGUCAUCAUACUUGACGAAAGUAAGAUUCUUUCUAGAUUUGGAUUCAAAGGGAGUAAGGGAUUGCCUUAACUCCUUGUUCUGGGCAUACACCGAUGUGUACCCAACUAAGAAUAACUAAACCUGCAAACUUUAGCAACUUCAAUCUACUCAACACCGUAAUCCCUAAGAACGAUGCCAAAAUUUUUAUCUUAGCCCAAAAUACACCUCCAACUUAAGGCUAAAGUGGUUCUAGUCAGUAUAAUAACCCAACUAAGAGUGGGGUCAUACCCAUAGGGACUGCAGGUAUCAUAUCUCUCUUUUGCUAGAAUCAACAGGCAAAUGUGGAAAGUAAAUAUGGGGAUUUGUUGUUUAAAGUAACCAUAAGUAAUUGGUUGUUGUUUUUGGUUGAAUCAAUAGGAGACGACACUAGGAUUGUGUUCCCCCCAGUAUCUUGAAUCCAUAGGUUUGUCGUGCUUAACUAAACCAACCCAGCACUUUGCAUGUAGAAUCUGAUAAGUUACGUACCAUCAACUAUCUUGUAGACUCAUUUACGGAUUUCACCCUUUACCUUUUGAGUCUCAAAGUGUCACUCUACUAGAACUUAUCCUAGAUCCCAAUUAACUAUCACCUUAUGGGUCUCAAGUUUUUAGAUGAAACUAAUUGGCUUAAGAAGAUAAUACUAGUAAGCUUGUGUCGGCAAUAAACUCCAAAUUACUAUUGUCAUUAUCAUUUCCUAGUCCGUAUUCCCUUUUUUUGAGUGAAUAGAAAUAUAUAUGUGGGAUCUUAAUGUUUACAAUUGCAUAGACAACUAUUAAAUCAAAGAUAAUACAAUACAUGCAAGGGUACUAGCUCAGAAAAACUUUGCACUCCACCUACUUCAUUAAUCUGCCAGGGUUUCCACAACCUUAGCUAAGGACUUUAGCCACUCAUUCUUGUGAAACUACUAAUGAAUUUCAUGAUGGAAAACAUUAAAGUAAUAAGACAAUAUUCAAUGAUCAAAACCCAAAGUCAGAAAAUGAAUUAUUAACCAAAAUCACCAAUACAAGAAUUUAAGGAUCACAAUAUGUUAAAAGAGUGUAAAAGUAUAUCAAAGUAAAUAACUACUUCUAAAAAUACAAACAGGGUAUUUAUAGUACAUGAGGAAACCCAAAAAAUCAACGCUUGAAUGAAAAAGAAAAAAGGGAGUAGUUGGCCACUUACUUGGGCCACAUACAACCCGUAUGUACUACAUACAGUCCGCAAGUGGACCCAGGUAAGUGCCCAAAAAAUUUAUUGUAGCCUUGCACUCUCUGGAUCUUUGAUUUUGUCACUUACCAUAGCCACUGAUGGUCUGCAAGUACUACAUAUGGUCCGUAAGUGGACCCAGGUAUGUAACACCUCAUAUUUUUGGGCUAGUUUAUGAACCAUCAUUCCUACAUGUAUAAGUUACAAUCCAAGUGAUUCUCAUAUAAAUAUAAUUGUAAUGAUCUUUAUGCUAGUGUGUAAAAUGCUCAUCAGGUUAAAAAUGUUCAUAGAAAUAAUUUAGAGCCAAGUUGAGCUAAGAUCCUUUGAUUCACCCAAAGUUUGGAAUUUAAUUCUAUAAGGGUCUACUUUAAACAUGUAUAACUUUUGAUUUAUAUGGAAUUUUUCAUAUCAAUACCUACCAAAAUAUAGAUAAUUGAGUUAUAUUUCCAAUGGUACUAAUUUCACCUAAAUCCAAUAACCGAGGGAAAAGUUAUACCAUUUUUCAUCUGAGGCAGUAAGGGGUCACGAUAGUCCCGUGACGCUAGGGCUUCUUGACCCAAAUAGGGGUCUCGUUGCAAGGUCUUCUUGACCCAACUAGGGUUCAUGACUCGGGGGCUAUUCCCCCAGAGUUUUAGCUUUUUAAGGUUCAAGGGUCUCUUUGGUCCUUUCCCCUCAACCCUAAACGUCCAAAGUACCAAUUUUAACACCCAAAAGGACAUUAUUUGCCAAUCUUCCUCAAAUCAACUCAUGUAAAAACCCUCCCCCUUUCCCAAGAACAAAAAUCAAAGAAUCACAAUUCAAGAACCUUUAAGAAAAUUUACUCUCUUUCAAGAUUCAAGCUUUUGAGGUAUGUUAGAUGUUCAUCCAUGGGCCCUUUCACCCAUGGAGUCCAAGAAUUCAACUUUUAUAUUUUAAAUCAUGAAAUUACAUGUUUAUAAUGAUUUAUCUCCAUGAAUCAUUUAUGAAUUUUGAUUAUACAUGAUGUUUACAAUAUAUUUUCAUUGAAAGCAACCCUAAUUACAUAUUUUAUGAAUUAUGUCUAUGAACUUACAAGAAGUUUGAAUCUUUACCAUGUUUCCAUGAAAUUGUUAGUGAUGUUAAACCUUACAUAUUUAAAUGGGGUUGUUUGUUGAACUUAACCCAAAAUUGGUGAUCUUAUAAAUAAGAUCAUGUUAUUUCUAUAAGUUUUAGAACUAUUCUCAUGCUUAGUUUAAACCAUGAAUUGCAAGCAUUUGAUGAAAUGCCUAAAUGAUUGGGUUUUGAACAAUGACUAAUUACAUAUUUACAAGUUAGGAUUUUAAAAUUUGUUUUCAAGUGGAAUGCAUUAUAGUAUAUUUUAAAUAUUAUAUUUUUCAUAUCAUGUUCAUGAGAAUUUCGGAAUAAAUCCUCAGUUUUAUGAUUUUGUCAUGUGAUCGUGCUAUCUCAUUAUGUUCAAAAGUAUUCUCAUGUUAGAGUCUUGACCCCCAUGUGUUUGAUAAUAUGCUUAAGUGAAUAAUUUUAAACAAUGAUCUCCUUCCAUGGUUUCAAAGUUUUCAUGUGACCCUGUUGUUAUUGUUAUCAAGUCCUAGGGGUUAUGAAUACCCAAAAUUUAGCUGUUUACUUAGACUCAGUAGUUUUAGAAUAGUUUCGGACACGUAUGAGCAUUAUCAGUUCAGUCCAUUAUCAUAUCAACCAAACUUAGAUCAGUUCAUUAACCCGAGUCAAUUCCCUCUUCAAUUAAGCUUAGCUCAAUCCCAAAAUCAGUGUCAGUUUAGUUAGGAGUAGGAUUCGGCACCGAGCGAGCCUAGGGAUGGGGGCUCACCCGUUAGUUAGGACUGGGUCCUUAAAAUCAAUCCCUAAGUUCCCAAACUAUAUAGGCAGCAUAGUUUAGGAGAUGUCACCUGUUAGUUAGGACUGACACUCUUAGGGAUCACCCGUUAGUUAGGACUGAUCUCAGGGGUCACCCAUUAGUUAGGAAUGACUCCUCAGCUAGUGUUAGUAUUCGUGGAAUGAUACUAACACCCUUCUAAUUUAGUUCAUAGGUUGGAUCCCAACUCAAUUUAUAAUUAGGGUAUGUCGAUUAGAUUAACACUCCCACAGUUAUAGUUUUAGUUUCAGUCUCAGUAUAGAACUCAGUUCAGUUCAACAGAACCAGGACUGUCAGACACAGUGACUUAGUAUCAGUAAUUUAAUUAUCAAUAAUCACAGAUACCAGUUAGUCAGUAUCAUAAAUCAGUACUCAGCUUCAGUAAAAGUUUAGAUACAAUAUACAUGUAUAUGCAUAGUAUUGCAUACUAAACAUUUUAUAGCAUUCUCAGUUAUUCAUGUACUCUUAUUCAGUUACGCUAUAUCAUUCAGUCAGUUACUGUUUAUGCAUAUGAACUCCCGCAUUCAUCCUUACCUCAUCUAGCAUACCAGUACAUUCCAUGUACUGGCGCAUACUUUCUCUUUGCACUAUGAUGUCUCAUAUUAUAGGUUCAGACACUCAGGUUCCUGACCGCGCUUAGAUGGAAUUAGAUAGCAAUAUCAGAUUUAGUAGUGAGUCCUCAUCUAUCGAGGAUAUGCUUUUAUUUUAGUAUUUCAAUAUUCAGAGCUAGUUAGGGGCUUGUCCCAUCAACUCCACAUCCAGAUAGUUCAGUUAGAGGCUUUUCAGACUAGACUAGUUCAGAAAGUAUUCAGAUGUUAUUAUCAAUUGCUAUUUAUCAGUAUUCAGAUUAUGAACCUUAUGGAAUUUCAGCCUAUUUUCCAUAUUAUUUUUGUAUUAUUAUUCAGUUCUCCCAGCAGGUACCAGUCAUGGGUUAGCUUGUGGUCCUUCGAGGUCAUAAGCAUCGUAUGGCGUCCGGGGUGCAGACUCGGGGUGUUACAAGGUAAGUGGCAAAAAAUUUUCUUGCACCAGAGUCUUAAAAUUCCUGUAACCAAGCCUCUGGACAACAAAUUUUGGUAUAUUAUUUGGUCACAUACGCCCGGUAAGUGCCACAUAUGCCUAAAAAUGCUCAAGUGGCCAAACACUUUAUUUUUCAUCUUUUUCUUAAACUUAUCAUUCAAACUCCAAUUUCCUGGAAAACAUACCCAAAACACAUUAUAUCAAACAAAACAACUUAAGAAUCAUGCAUAUUUUCAUAGUUUUAAGCAUCAAAAGUGUUAUAUAUUCAUAGCACAUUGUUCAACUUUCAUGCCAUUGUUUACACUUUCAAGAACGGAAAAGUGUAAGCCUAACAUAAUCUAUGGGGACUCCUGUUGGAAUUAACUUAUCACUGAUCUCAAGAAAAUUCUAAAGAUGGACCCUUGGGUCCUUAUGAGUCUUACCAGUAAACUGUCCACUCGUGUGCAACAAUUGCACCGCGUUGUGCUUCAGCUUAAAUCUACCUCCAGGUUUUAGUUUGUAGAAGUUGGAGGUAGCAUUAAUUAUGGGUGGGAUUGCCACUUUGCACAUUGUCCUUAGUGUUUCCAUGUCUUCAGGAACAACCUUGACAUGUUGAUCCUGCUCAACCUGAAGUAUUGGGUUGAGACGUUAGUUACUUUUCUCAAAUGGUGCUAGUGCUGCUCAGGUUUAGGAUCUGGUUGAACCAAAUCCUUAUUUCUUACCAGCUUACUGAAUGGUCUAACCUAACCUACAAGAUGAGUGUGUAAAACCAAGUUGUUAGCACUUACUAAAUAAAAAGCAAAACUUAAAACUAGAAAUCCACUAAUAUUUAAGACCCAUCUAAUGAUGCAAUAAACUUCUUAUAAUUGUUGCACACACAAGUGCACGUGGUCAAAUAAGUAGUAAAAUGACUAUUUUUUAGAGUCGGGUUGUUGUAUCCAAGGGACUUGAAGUUAGUUCAGUUCUAAUUUCAAUUAUACUUUUCAAUUUAACAAGUGCGAGUUUGUAAUAAGAUUAUGAGAUUUGUAAUUAUAAACCAAGUAACAAAAAUAACAAUGGCAUGAAAGUUGAAUAGUAAACAAUAUUUGGAGAGUUCCAAUAUUGAGGCAUCUACCUCACAUUCAUGCAAAACUAUGGUUUCUAGCCAGUGUUGGUGUUUAUUUUAUUAUUGAUCUAUGAGGUUGAUAAUAUAACUCAUGGAUGGUCACCCUCUAAGUUGUAUAUCAAAACUAGUAUCACAACUAAAUUGUUGACCAGGGAUGUGAGUAUCUAAUUUGAAUACAAUGAGUUAUCUUCACAUUUUAUUAACCAAGUGGUCGUUUAGGUAUAUCUCUACCAUAACCGCAAAUUUUUCCUUAACAAAGUAAAAAUAAGAUACACACUCCAUACUCUUUUCAUUCCACCUCUUGGAUUCCAUUGUUAGCCCACCUAAAUAUAUAGACUUAUCCUAAAUUUCAUGACAUUUUAUAAUAGUAAAGCAUGAAUGCAAAAAUAAUCACAUGACAAGACAAACAUAUAUAUCAAACUAAUAAACCACAACUAAGCAAUCAUGUUGUAGAAUCAAUCCUAUAAAGUGUGUGUCUAUACACUUAUAGCCUUGUAAGAAAGUCUUCAUAGAUGAGUUCACAAAGUAAAACUACAAAGAGAAUAAAGUAAAAAAGCUAAAAACCUUAAUGUGGAGCCCUUGAUGCCUUGUGUUCUCGACAAUGGUUUAAUGAUAAAAAAAAAUAUCUUGCAAUUGAGGAUAAGUGCUAUUUAUAUAGCUAUAAAAGUUGUGAAACCAAGUACCAAAGGUAUUAGAUAUAAUGAUAAUAUAACCCCUCAACAUAAACCAACAUAAAACCCAACUUUUAGACGUGUUUGGAGGGUGUGUGGCAUGCAAUUGAGUUCUAGUUUUGAGGGUCACAUUGCAUGGAUUAUUUGGAAGCCAAACCAGUACAUACUAUCUGUAUAGGGCGUGGAACAUAGUUGGGAUCGAGAUUUGGAGGGUGAGGCUCACCAUGUACUACACAACAUGCAAUUUUGUUUAAUCUUUGUUCUAUGCUUCUCGUCUAACUUGUUCCUUGUUUUCCCACUCAUCGUGGCUCAUGUAUCUUUUGUGAAGGCCUUAAUUGUCUUCCAUAUAUGCUCCAAUAUUCUCCUACAACAUAUCAUAUCAAAAUUAGGCCAUACAACACAAUAAAUUUCAUCAAAAGUACACUAGAACAAGCAUAGCUUAGCCCGGUUGAACUAGUUAACUCAUCAAAUCUCUAUUUGAUCAUUUUGGAUAUUGAAUGGAUUCAAAUGCAAUUUAAACACUCUAAACAUAAAUAUUAGAACAAAAAUAAACAAAGAACACUAAAUAUGCAUAGAAACACACCAAGUUAUCCUCAAAACUAAGCUAAAACGCGAGUAGAAGUUGUUGAUAAGCGUAUACUUGCACCUAUAAUCAUAACCCCACUGUUAAAGCCUUGUUUGACCUCGAACAACUCCUAAAAAUCAUAUACAUCAUGAAGGAAUCUAACAUGACUAAUUGAAACAAGACACUCAAUCUAGCACUCUAACGACUAUAAUAGGGAGCAAGUUCACAACAAGCAUGUAACAUGAUCAACUUUAAAUAUAGGAAUGUCUAUUCAAAACCUCCUAGACUCAAUAAUUUACAUUCAUAAAAUGAGAAAAUUCAUGCAUAUUACUCAACCAAAAAAAUCAUAUAAGUCACCUGUCCAUCAUUAAAUACACCCUAAUUACAAGAGAGUCACCCAUAUUCACUAACAAAUAUGCAAUUUAUCAUAAGAAUGGGUUAAUAGUCAAAUUCCACUCAUUCUCACAAAGAAUUCAUAUGUCACAUAAGAUGAACCAUAAGUUUUUCUUUGUUUAGUACUCCGCUAAUAUAAGAAUAUCAAAUAUCAAGAUCAAUUAGGACUCUAAGGUUGUAAUGUAGGCUAAGGGACGGGUAGGAGCUAUUUCGUCAAGAAUAGUAACUAAAUUUUCCAAGAAUUUUAAAACAUCACACUUUCCAUUAAGCUCAUAUUCAGCCAAAGAUUUAGACUCCUAUAACAUCAGUUCAUUCUAAAUACAUUAGAAGAUUCCUUACCACACACUUAAAAUUACAAUUUAAGAAUAAAGAAUAGAAAUACUCAUUAACACCUUUAGAUAAUAGCAUUAUAUCCAUCAAUAGGUGAGAAGGACCCCACAUUCAGAUUUUUCCAUGCUUCUUAGCUUAGAUCUUGGGUGCUCACCUUUUCCUUCAACCUAUAAACAUCAAACAAAAAUAAAAAUCAAAGGCGAUACUAAGAAAAUGAAAAAUAAAAAUAAACUAUCUUAGCUUGGGUUGCCUCCCAAGCAUCGCCUAAUUUAGUGUCUGGCAUAACUCACAUCACGACUAUUGUCCAUAACCUCUCAUCCCUUUCUAACCUUUUGGGCCUACAUUUUUCUUCUUUUUUGAACUCUUGAGUUCUUACACUCCAGUUUUAUAGAUUUUCUCACAUCUACAUUAUUAGGAUUCCAUUUAAUAUUUUUAGUCUUAGGCUUAGUGAUAAAAUUUGGAAACUCUAUGAGAGAGUUCAAAGAGGUUAUUGUAUUAUUGUACCCCACUACCCCAUACUGAUUUACUUCAAUAACUAAAAUCAUGCAUAGGUCUAUGUAGUUUGAAGGUGUGUUAAUUACUUUUUACACUAUGAAAAAUACAUCUUCAUCAUUCAUUCUCAUCUUAAGUGUGCACUUUAUAACUUCUAUCAAAGCUCCACUGGUAUCUAAGAAUUAAUGUCCAAGUAUGAUUGGUACCAUGUCAUUUGCAUCAUAGUCAAAAACAAUAAAAUCAGUAGGAAUAAUAAACUUACCAAUAUUAAUGAUAACAUCCAUAAUAAUUUCUUUGAGGACCACUCAGCUUCCAUCUGCUAUCUGUAGCACAACUGAAGAGGGCCUUGGUUUUACCAAACUAAUAUUAUUAAGAACUGAAAGAGGCAUUAAGUUAAUGCUUUCCCCCAAAUCAUUUAGAGCUUACAUAAUGUAACAUUCACUAAUUUUUAUGGGGAGGGUGAAACCCCUAGGGUACUUGAAUUUUUUAGGCAUCUUUCUCAUAACCAUAAAAUUUCACUCCUCAAUAAGUGAAAAAGUCCCAUAUCUCUAAGAUUUUUCUUAGUUUCCACCACAUCCUUUAAGUAUUUAGCAUACUUAGGCAUACCCUGCAAUCAUGUGAUAAAGGAAUGUUAAUGUGGAGUUCCUUGAUUAUAUUAAGGAACUUCUUGAAACAUGCAUCCUCAUGUGCUUUCAUGAGAUUUUUCUGAAAUGGUGGUGGUGGUCUCUUUGGUGCUUUCUUAGUCGGCUUAUCAGUAGGGUACUCAGAAUUCCCCUUCUUCUUAGCUUCUUUUCCUAGAGAUUACCGCUUAAUCUGCUUGGUAUGAUCAACUCUACUUGCACCUCAUGAUUCUUCUUUGAGGGAUCAUCUAUCAAGUCGCUACCAUUCCUCAAAAUGAUUUCCAUAGCAUGCUUUAGAUUCUACUUUGUACGAUCUGGCAAACCCCCUUGAGGUCUUACAUUCUAAGCCUGUGCCAAUAGUUUAACUUGCUCUUCUAGAUUCUAGAUGGAAAGUUUUUGAUUUUUUAGCUUUGCAUCCAUAUUUACUUACUCAGUCAUAAUCUUUUUGAGCAUCUCUUCAAGAUUGCUAGACUAAGCUUGCUGCUAAAAUUUUUGUGCCUAAUUUCCACCAUAUACAUUGUUGGGCUGAGUCUAAAAAUUUUGAUUAUAGGAGUUACCAAAAUGUUGGUUUCUUCUUUGCGUAUUUCCUACAAAAUUUGACUAACUUUACAUUUUCUCCACACAGGUCUAUUUAAUGAUCACUACCUCUAUAAACUUCAUACAAAACCUGCAUUUCCUGAACCUCCCGCAUAGUUUGAACCACAUUAGUUUGAGCUUGGCCUUGAGACAUGAUCAGUUUGUUGAGUUGAAUUAUUAUCUGGUUCUUAAAAGUAGAUAACUGUGCAUCUAAUUCUGUGAUUACAUCUCCUUUAGAUGAGACUGAAAUAUUCUUUGUUCCAGAUCUCGAAACAUCACUAUGCCUAUUCAGAUUACCCUGUGUAAUUUUGUCCAAUUGAGUGUACAAUUCUGUAUAUGUUUAUCCAAAUCUUGAACACCUAUAUCUAAAUCUAUCAAAAUCUUUAUGUGUGGGUCAAUACUUUGAAAAAAAAUUAUGAUCUAAUACCUCACUAGAUUGAUGAUGAUGUGGGAAAUCUUUGAGAAGAACUUUGGAAAUAAUUUGAAGUUUGCUGAAGUUGAGGAUCUCACUUCUCAAUUUUACAUUCUUAACAUAUGGAAAUAAUUUUUAUUAGGAACUUUGCUGCAAGAUCAUCAAAUAUGUGAUUGAGUUUGUAGUCUUUCCAUUUAACCCUGUCUUAGUUUCUUCUAAAAGUGAGAAUGGGAAAAGUGUAAGCCUCACAUAAUAUAGGGAGAACCCUAUUAGAAUAAAUGUGUCACUAAUCUCAAGAAAAUUUGAAUAUGGACCAUAGGGUUCUUUUAUGCCUGACCAUUUUAUUGUCUACUUGUUUGCAACAAUUUCACCAUGUUCUGACUCAGCUCAAAUCUACCUCUUCGGUUUGCAGAUGGUGGAGUUAACAUUGAUAGCGGGUGCGACUGCUACUUCGCGCACUAUCCUUGGGGAUUCCAUGACUUCAAGAACAACCUCGAUAUGUAAAUCCUACUCAACCUAUAAUAUUGGGUAGAAAAGUGCAACUGUACUUCUUAAAUGGUGCAAGCUUUGCUCAGGUUCUGGAUCUGGUUUAACCAAAUCCUUUAUUCCUUGCUAGCUUACUGAACUAACAAACUUGUACCUAUAAUAUGAG